Non-coding RNA from Coturnix japonica (Japanese quail), 385 nucleotides. The record is from RefSeq and is a predicted model, not a curated record. NCBI's taxonomy places the organism in Eukaryota, Metazoa, Chordata, Aves, Galliformes, Phasianidae.
UCCUGCCGACCCCCCCGACCCCAUCUGAGCCCCAUAAAGGACGUUGUGGGUCCGCCUCCCCAGGGACCCCCGUAACCCCUCAGAGCCUGUGACCACCUCAGACUUCACCCAAUUGACCCCCCCCCCCCCCCCCCCAGAUCCUACUAACCGUUCCCAAGGGACCCUCCUGAUCCCUCUUCCAGACCAUUGCUGCCUGGAAGAAGGGAGUGGACUCCAAAGUGUGAGCCCAGAGUGUCUGCAGAAGACUGAGGGAUUUUUCUUCAUGAAAGCAAUACUUUAGAAGGAUGACGGAUCCCGGCCCCGGACUGACCUGGUUCUUUGAAGUGGUGUACGUGGAUGGCGAAAUCUUCGUGCACUACAACCUGGUUAUGCUGAGAGACGGAAA